GUGCUCACUUCAGCAGCUCAUACACUACAACUGGAACGAUACAGAGACGAUUACCAUGGCCUCUAUGCAAGGAUGACACACAAAUCAUCAAGCGUUCCAUAUUACA
Small nuclear RNA from Nomascus leucogenys (northern white-cheeked gibbon), 106 nucleotides. The record is from Ensembl. NCBI's taxonomy places the organism in Eukaryota, Metazoa, Chordata, Mammalia, Primates, Hylobatidae.